UACGAAGGGGGCUAGCGUUGUUCGGAAUUACUGGGCGUAAAGGGCUCGUAGGUGGCCAACUAAGUCAGACGUGAAAUCCCCAGGCUCAACUUGGGAACUGCGUCUGAUACUGGAUGGCUUGAAUUCGGGAGAGGGAUGCAGAAUUCCAGGUGUAGCGGUGAAAUGCGUAGAUAUCUGGAGGAAUACCGGUGGCGAAGGCGGCAUCCUGGACCGAGAUUGACACUGAUGAGCGAAAGCCAGGGGAGCAAACGGG
Molecule: ribosomal RNA, 253 nt
Filed under: uncultured bacterium
Lineage: Bacteria
Description: partial 16S ribosomal RNA
Rfam family: Bacterial small subunit ribosomal RNA
Source: RNAcentral